RNAcentral lists this ribosomal RNA (520 nucleotides) under uncultured Glomus. Its description in RNAcentral is "SSU rRNA". It matches the Rfam family "Eukaryotic small subunit ribosomal RNA", at positions 569 to 1088 of the family's 1831-position model. The record is from RNAcentral. Lineage: Eukaryota; Fungi; Glomeromycota; Glomeromycetes; Glomerales; Glomeraceae.
AGCAGCCGCGGUAAUUCCAGCUCCAAUAGCGUAUAUUAAAGUUGUUGCAGUUAAAAAGCUCGUAGUUGAAUUUCGGGAUCAAUGCGUCGGUCGUGCUUUCGGGUACGUACUGGUGUCAUUGGUUUCUCCUUUCUGACGAGCCGUGAUGUCAUUAAUUUGGUGUUACGGGUAGUUAGGACUGUUACUUUGAAAAAAUUAGAGUGUUUAAAGCAGGCAUUCGCUUGAAUACAUUAGCAUGGAAUAAUGAAAUAGGACGUUCGACCCUAUUUUGUUGGUUUCUAGGAUCAACGUAAUGAUUAAUAGGGAUAGUUGGGGGCAUUAGUAUUCAAUUGUCAGAGGUGAAAUCCUUGGAUUUAUUGAAGACUAACUACUGCGAAAGCAUUUGCCAAGGAUGUUUUCAUUAAUCAAGAACGAAAGUUAGGGGAUCGAAGACGAUCAGAUACCGUCGUAGUCUUAACCAUAAACUAUGCCGACUAGGGAUCGGAUGAUGUUAAUUUUUUAAUGUACUCAUUCGGCGCCU